RNAcentral lists this ribosomal RNA (253 nucleotides) under uncultured bacterium. RNAcentral's name for it is "partial 16S ribosomal RNA". It matches the Rfam family "Bacterial small subunit ribosomal RNA", at positions 524 to 776 of the family's 1533-position model. The record is from RNAcentral.
GACAGAGGUCCCGAGCGUUAGGCGGAAUCACUGGGCUUAAAGCGUGUGUAGGCGGAUCUGUAAGUACCUUGUGAAAUCCCACGGCUCAACCGUGGAACUGCUUGGUAUACUGCGGAUCUUGAGCCACCUAGGGGCAACCGGAACAAGUGGUGGAGCGGUGAAAUGCGUAGAUAUCACUUGGAACGCCAAUGGUGAAAACAGGUUGCUGGGGGUGUGCUGACGCUGAGACACGAAAGCCAGGGGAGCAAACGGG